Molecule: long non-coding RNA, 1623 nt
Filed under: Brachypodium distachyon (stiff brome)
Lineage: Eukaryota; Viridiplantae; Streptophyta; Magnoliopsida; Poales; Poaceae
Description: long non-coding RNA (BDIS_LNC004400)
Source: RNAcentral
CAAGUAUAUGCAAUUGAGGUAUAGUGGGGUUCAGACUUUAUGGCGUGGUAGCAAAACAUAGUUUAUCUUACUACAAUUGAAUGUUACAAUAUUGUUAACUAAUGGACAUGGGGUAGAAACACCCAUGCACCUAUUAACCUAGAGCACAUUGAGUAGAAACAUCAAGUGCCCCUACCCUGUUCAAACCAUUCAUUUUAUUUAAGAAGUUGGAAUGAGUGAGACCUUCCUUACAGCCCCAAUAUCUAGUUGCUCAUGAUUGUCCGUAACUGGGGACACGGCUAAGUACUUAGUUUGAUACUCUCAAGAGGUUGUACACAUUCCCCACAAGAAAUCGACGUGUUAAUCCCUUGCUGUCCUCUGGGUGGAGUAGCAACGGCAUCGACUUCAAGAAUUUUCAGAACAUGUUCACCCAAACCACCUGAGGGACCCGCGCUCCCACGUACACAACUACCUCAGUACAAUCCCUCGGAUCUGGGUAAACAUUUCUUACUCCAUCCAGGCAGAGCCCAUAUUAUCAUGUGGGUGUACUGGAAGCUACUAAACAGGAAACUAGUCCAGCCUCUGAUACCCAGGUGGCAUUCCACAUUUGCGAUGAAGAUGACCCUGACAGCGGUGAUGGCGCGGCGCGGGUCGGCAGCGGAGAUCGUGGGAGCUUUCCCCACGAGGAAGAUGACUCUGACAGGUGGGGCCCACCUGUCGGUGGCUCACGCGGCGCGCGCAACCUGGGCCGGCUCGGGCGGGACGGGGCCGGUUCGGCCCAUGUUGGCUAGGCCGGUCCGAUUUUCUCUUUUUUUUUUCUUUUAGCCCUUUUCUUUUUCUGUUUUUCUUAUUUCUUUGAUAUCUUUUGAUUUUGAACUCCAAAUUGGUCCAAAUAAAUUUCAGAAAAUUUGUAAAAUCAUGUUUUAUCAUGAUUCAACUUUUGGGAGUCAUUUUCCUUCAAAAUAAAAUACACAAAAAUACAUUUGCCCUAUAAAUGCCUUUAGAGCUAUAUAACUAUUUAAAUAAACUAGUUUUUCAACUCCAAAUAAUUAUCCAAAAAUUAUGGGAUAGCUUAUUUAUGCAAUAAACCCCUUUUAUAAAUAAACCUAUUGGUUUGAAAAUCCAAAUAUUAAAUGGGUGUAAAACCCUAGGGUUUAAAUUGAAAUAAAAAUCUUUCAAAGCCUUUUGAGAUUCAAAUUUGAAUUAAAAAAUGCAAUUGUGGCAUGAUGCUCAUGGAUGCAAAGCAUAUGUAAAAGUUUGAAAUUUUGGGAUGUUACAUCAGGAGAUACAAGAGUCCCAUAACAACUCCACAGUCGAAACAUGUUGGAAUGUAAACUCGUAACCCUAACAAAUCGUACCUCACUCUUCACCUGUAAAACCUGCAACAUUUAAACGUUGCAGCCACUAGGGAGUCAAUACAUUGAAUGUAUUGGCAAGUUCACUAAAGGGUUAUAACAGACCUAACAAGUAUAUGCAAUAUUUGGCAAGGUAGGGGUUUGGCUAUUUGCAUAAAAGCCUCAAGGUUUCAUCCUAUCAUUUUUAACAAAUAGUUUUAUCACUAUUGGAAACGGGGUAGAAACACCCAUGCUCCUAUUAACCAAGAGCACAUUGAGUAGAUACAUCAAGUGCUCCUACCCUGUUCAA